Molecule: ribosomal RNA, 341 nt
Filed under: Salmonella enterica
Lineage: Bacteria; Pseudomonadati; Pseudomonadota; Gammaproteobacteria; Enterobacterales; Enterobacteriaceae
Description: partial 23S ribosomal RNA
Rfam family: Bacterial large subunit ribosomal RNA
Source: RNAcentral
GAGGUUAAGCGACUAAGCGUACACGGUGGAUGCCCUGGCAGUCAGAGGCGAUGAAGGACGUGCUAAUCUGCGAUAAGCGCCGGUAAGGUGAUAUGAACCGUUAUAACCGGCGAUUUCCGAAUGGGGAAACCCAGUGUGACUCGUCACACUAUCAUUAACUGAAUCCAUAGGUUAAUGAGGCGAACCGGGGGAACUGAAACAUCUAAGUACCCCGAGGAAAAGAAAUCAACCGAGAUUCCCCCAGUAGCGGCGAGCGAACGGGGAGGAGCCCAGAGCCUGAAUCAGCAUGUGUGUUAGUGGAAGCGUCUGGAAAGGCGCGCGAUACAGGGUGACAGCCCCGU